Ruditapes philippinarum (Manila clam) is the source of this 9208-nucleotide long non-coding RNA. RefSeq lists it as uncharacterized. Lineage: Eukaryota; Metazoa; Mollusca; Bivalvia; Venerida; Veneridae. The transcript is spliced from 2 exons. The record is from RefSeq and is a predicted model, not a curated record.
UAAUGUGAUGUGUGAGUUAUAAAACACUGAAGUUUUGAAGUAUGACAUGAAUAAGGUAAAUUCAGUUUGCUUUUGUUGUCGGGGUCUUUCAAAUGCAUAUACUGGAAGAUGUGUCCUGAAUCUUUAAAACUGAGUAUAACUUUGUACAGUCUAACCCAUAAUUACUUAUUUGUCAUUUGUCCGUAUGUGCAUCCAUUGUCAACUUUUGAAAUCAUUGAGUUGAAUUUGAUAAAACUUGUUUGUGAUGUUUUCAGCAUAAAGCUUUACAAAAAUUGUUCUGGAUUUUUGAAUAUUUGGAUCUGGUUUUCCUUUGAUAUUAUGUAUGAUAUAUAGUAUAAAUCUUCUUCUCUGAAAUAGCAAAGGCUAGAGCUUAGAUAUUUGGCACAAAUCAUUGUCUAGUGGACCUUUGCCAAGGUUGUUCAAAUUAUAGGCUUUUGAUAGAUAUUCGCUCUACUUAAGGAUGUCAACACUUUUCCUUGUAUGUUUAUUGAACAUAAAGCAAAAACACUUUUGAAAAAAUAUUUUCUGAAAUUACUAGACCUUAAAAUGUGUAACUAUGGUACAAAAUGUAAUAUGCCGUAAUAUGAUUACCAAGAUGUUGCCAGAGCUUAAGUUGAGCUUACUAUUGCCCUGUGUCCAUCGUGCAGUGUGUGUUGAUGGAAUCGGGAGAGGGAUAUUGUUUUGACGUUGUCCGUCUGUCCUUCCGUCCGAAUUUCGUUUCCGUGCUAGUUCUCUUUAAUUACUGAAAACUUUAUGGGAAUCAUUGAAAUCAAGCGGAGAUGCGCAUAUCAUCGGCUUAUUCCAGUCAGACCCUUUAACUCAGAGUUAUGGCCUUUGAUUAGUUAUGCAGUAUGCAUUAUAGAGCAAUAAUUAUUUCCACGCUACUUCUCUGCAACUACUGGCUGGAAUUCAAGGAAACUUUAUUAAUCUUGUCAGACACUUUAACUCAGAGUUAUGGCCCUUGAUUAGUUAUUCAGUAUGCAUAUAGAACAAUAAUCGUUUCCAUGCUACUUCUCUGCAACUUCUGGCUGGAAUUCAACAAAACUUUAUGGGAAUCAUUAAUAUCAAGUGGAGGUGCGCAUAUGAUCGGCUUGUUUCUGUCAGACACUGUUACUCAGAGUUAUGGCCCUUGAUUAGUUAUGCAGUAUGCAAAUAAAGCAAUAAUUGUUUCUGCGCUUCUUCUCUGCAAUUACUGAUUGGAAUUCAACAAAACUUUAUGGGAACCUUCAAUAACAACAGGAGAUGCGCAUAUCUUCGCCUUGUUCCGGUCAGACACUUUAACUCAGAGUUAUGGCCCUUGAUUAGUUAUGCAGUAUGCAUAUAGAGCAAUAAUCGUUUCCACUCUUCUUCUCUGCAACUACUUCCUGGAAUUCAACAAAUUUUUAUGGGAACUGUCAAUACCAAAAGAAGAUGCGCAUAUCGUCCCCUUGUUCUGGUCAGACACUUUAACUCAGAGUUAUGGCCCUUGAUUAGUUAUGCAGUAUGCAUAUAGAGAUAUAUAAUCGUUUCCGUGCUUCUUCUCUGCAACUAAUGGCUGGAAUUCAAUGAAAUUUUAUGGGGACCUUUAAUACCAAGAGGAGAUGCGCAUAUCACUGCCUUCAUCUGGUCAGACUUUUUAACUCAGACUUAUGAUAUUUGAUUAGUUAUGCAGUAUGCAUAUAGAGCAAUAAUCGUUUCCGUGCUUUUUCUCUGCAAGAACUGGCUGGAGUUUAACUAAACUUUAUGGAAACAAUCAAUACUAAGAGGAGAUGGGCAUAUUGUCCCCUUGUUUCGGUCAGACCCUUUAACUUAAUGGCCCUUGAUUUGUUACACAGUAUGCAUAUAGAGCAAUUAUCGUUUCUGUGCCAUUACUUUGAAAGUACUGGCUGGAAUUCAAUGAAAUUUAAUGGUAACAAUCAAUAAUAAGAGGAGAUGCGCAUAUCAUCGCCUUGUUCUGGUCAGACCCAUCAAGACAAAUUAUGCCCCCUGAUUAGUUAAUUAGUAUGCAUAUUGAGCAAUAAUUGUUUCCGCACUUUUUCUCUGCAACUACUGGCUGGAAUUCAACAAAACUUUAUGGGAACCAUCAAUACCAAGAGGGGAUGUGCAUGUUGCCUUGUGCCGCUCAGACUCUUUAACACAGAGUUAUGGCCCUUGAUUAGUUAUGCAGUAUGCAUAUAGAGCAAUGAUAGUUUCCGCGCCACUUCUCUGCAACUACUGGCUGGAUUUCAAUGAAACUUUAUUGGAACAAUUAAUACCAAGGGGAGAUGCACAUAUCAUUGCCUUGUUCCGGUCAGAACUAUGAAAAUCCUCAUUUCUGACUGAAAGGAUAUAGCUUAAAUUUUGGACAUGAAAUAUUUUCUAAUGGAACACUACCGUGUCCGAUCUUUAACUCCUAUACCAAUUGAAGGAUUUUCUUCAAACUUGGCUCAAAUGUUCACCUCAACAAGGGGAUGUGCAGAACCCAUGUUGCCCAUGUGUCAGCUCAAGGUCAAGGUCACAAUUGAAGGUCAAAUAUUAAACACAAUCAAAUAUUAGACAGCAUGUCGUGUCCGCUCUGUAAGUCCUACACUAAUUGAAAGAUUUUCUUCAAACUUGGCUCAAAUGUUCACAUCAACAAGGGGAUGUGCAGAACCCAUGUUGCCCAUGUGUCAGCUUAAGAUCAAGGUCACAAUUGAAGGUCGAAUAUCAAACAAUCAAAUAUUAGACAGUAUGUUGUGUCCGCUCUGUAAGUUUUACACUGAUUGAAAGAUUUUCUUCAAACUUGGCUCAAAUGUUCACCUCAACAAGGGGAUGUGCAGAACCCAUGUUGCCCAUGUGUCAGCUCAAGGUCACAAUUGAAGGUCAAAUAUCAAACAAUCAAAUAUUACACAGUAUGUCGUGUCUGCUCUGUAAGUCCUACACUAAUUGAAAGAUUUUCUUCAAUCUUGGCUCAAAUGUUCACUUCAACAAGGUAAUGUGCAGAACCCAUGUCACUCUUUUGCCGGCUUAAGGUCAAGGUCACACUUGAAGGUAAAAAAAUUGACUUAGAAAAUAUUCUUAAAUUUUAACAUCUAUUUGAAUAUUUCUGAAUCUAGAAAAGGUACUUACUUGAAACUUAAAAUAUAUAUGAAGUGUCACAAUUAAGUAUGAUGGUCAAGUUUCAUAACUCUGUAUUGCAUUUUAACAAAGUUAUGCCCCUUUUUAAGUCUUCAAAUUUAAUACAAUCAAAUAUAAGACAAUAUGUCGUGUCCGCUCUAUAAAUCCUAUACUAAUGGAAGAAUUUUCUUCAAACUUUAAUCAAAUGUUCACCUCAACAAGGUUAUGUGCAGAAUCCAUGUCACCUUUGUGCCGGCUAAAGGUCAAGGUCACACUUGAAGGUCAAAAAUUGACUUAGAAAAUAUUCUUAAAUUUUAACAUGUACUUGAUUAUUUCUGAAACUAGCACAGGUAUUUGCUUGAAACUUAAAAGAUAAAUGAGGUGUCACAAAUAAGAUUAAAGGUAAGUUUCAUAACUCUGUAUUGCAUUUUGACAAAGUUAUGCCCCUUUUUAAGUCUUUAAAUUUACAUACAAUCAAUACUAGACAAUAUGUUGUGUCCGCUUUAUAAAUUCUAUACUAAUGGAAGGAUUUUCUUCAAACUUUACUCAAAUGUUCACCCCAUCUGGGCAAUGUGCAGAACCCAUUUUACCCUUGUGCCAGCUUAAGGUCAAGGCCACACUUGAAGGUCAAAAAUUGACUUAUAAAAUGUUAAGUACAUUGGGAAAAUAAAAGGUUAUUUGUAGCUGUUUCGAACAUGAUUUGAUAAUAUAUAUUUAUACUAUUACCUGUACAAUUAGUCUUUUUUUCACCAGAGAUAAUUUCUUUUUAUGUAUUUGUGCAACUUAAGUUAUUCCCUUAACCACCUUUCCAAGACGUCUUCUGUCAAGGACAUUGGUGGGGGUAUGAAUCGCAUUCAGCGAUAGUUCUAGUUAUGUUUGAUAUUAAACAUUUUCUUGUUGACCUCUAUCAAAAUUUUUAUUAAAGUCUGCCUCAUCGAAAUAUAUGUACCUUUAUAUGUCCCUGAAUGAAAAAUGCAACAUUGACUUCACCAUUAUUUGACACGGGAUUAGAAUUUUAUUAUUGCCGCUGUUCAAAUCUGGAGGGGUAUAUUGUUUUGAGUUGUCCGUCCGGACAAACUUACAAAAUGGUACUUAUGUGACUUUUCCUAUGAUCUUUUUAGCCAUUUAAGUCACACAAGCCUAGAAAAGACACACAAGUUAUAACGGAAUUAAUUGGACCAAAGAGAAUGUACCAUUACCCAUUGUUCACAAAGACACAAGUACCUCUGGGUUUGUACGGAAGUACGUAUAUUAUGUCUGUCUGUCCAUCCACAUUUCUUUCCCGCACUAUCUCUCUGCAACUACUGGCUGGAAUUCAAGGAAAUUUUAUGGGAACCAUCAAUACCAAGAGGAGAUGUGCAUAUCAUUGCCUUGUUUAGGUCAGACCCUUUAACACAGAGUUAUGGCCCAUGAUUAGUAGUUAUGCAGUAUGCAUAUAGUCCGAAUUUCGUUUCUUCGUUUUUUCUCUGCAACAACUGGCUGGAAUUCAAUGAAACUUUCUGGGAACCAUCAGUAUGGUGAGAUGUGUUUAUCAUAGCCUUGUUCCAGUCAGAACCUUGAACACAAAGUUAUGGCCCUUGAUUAUUAAUGCUGCAUGCAUAUAGUCUGAAUUUCGUUUCUGCGCUAUUUCUCUACUACAACUGGCUGGUAUGCAACAAAACUUUCUGGGAACCAUCAGUACCAAGAGAAGAUGCACAUAUCAUCGCCUUGUCCCGGUCAGACCUUUCGUCAAAGAGUUAUGGCCCUUUUUAUGCAUUAUGUAUAUAGAACCUCUGCAAAUACUGUCUGGAUUUCCAUGAAACUUUAUGGGAACCAUCAAUAUUAACCAAGAGGAGAUGUGCAUAUCUUCGCGUUCUUUGGGUCAAACCUUUCAGCACUACUUAUGUACCUUGAUUAGUUAUGAUGCAGUUUGUAUUAUAGACAGUUAUCAUUUCCUCUCUACUUCUUUGCAACUAUUAGCUGGAUUUCCAUGAGGCUUUAUGAGAACCAUCAAUACCAAGAGGAGAUGGGCAUAAGGUUGGCUUAUUCCUUUCAGACUCUUUAACACAGUUUAUGGCCCUUGAUUAGUAAUGCAGUUUGCAUACAGAGCAAUAAUUGUUUCCGUUCUAUUUCUCUGCAGCUGCUGAAUGGAUUAUAAAUAAGAAAACUUUGUGGAAACAAUAAAUACUAAUAGGACAUGCGCAUAUCAUCACCUUAAACUUUGUGGAAACAAUUAAUACCAAAAGGAGAUGCACAUAUCAUCACCUUGUUCCGGUCAUACCCUUCAAGGCAGAGUUAUGGCUCAUAGUUAUGCAUUAUGCAUAUAGAGUAAUACAUGUUAUUGUUUCCGCGCUAUUUCUCUACAACUACUGGCUGGAAUUCAACGAAAUUUAAUGGGACCCAUCAAUACUGUAACAUACUUUUGCCGCAGUGUCAGGAUAUCUGUUUCAAAAAUACGCCACAAGUUAUACUGUAUAAACAUAUAUGCUAACUUAGCAUCAGUAAUAAACAGCACCUGGUUUCAAUAUUAUUUUAGUAGACUCUAUUCUUUAGGAUUUCCGAAAAAUAAUGCAACGCUUUCAUCAAGUUGGUCACAAUUACUGUUUGGAUUUGCGCCUCUCACGGAAGUCACGGAUUAUAGUGUCAAUGUUAUCGUAAAUGUCAAACCUGAUUCUUUCUUCUUGAUGAGUGAGUCCGUAAAUGUAACCUUUAAAAUAUUGUAAGUCCUUGAUUCAAAAUUGUCACAUCAUCAACAAGUUUAUGGCCUGCAUUUCUCAUCUCCUAGCGUUUUCUCAUUAAUGUUGCUUUAAUGUUAUUUUUGAGUUUAAGGAUAACUGGCCUGAUUGAAUUUUUUUUGGAGGGCAGUCUGUGAAUGGCAAUAAUGUCCUUUUCCUCAAGUGAGACUCCCUGCAUUUUGAAUGUAUCUCUCAUUGAAUUGGUUAGUUGUUGCUCAGUUUCUCCUCUGAUCUCAGGGAUCUCCAUGACCUUGACAUUAUUCUUUCUAGAGUAUUGUUUAUUGAAGUUUGCUCUCUUGUUGGCAUCUCUACUGAUAUCAUGAAUUUUCAUUACAGUCUCUUCCAGGCUCUUGAUUUUCAGAAGGGUAUUAUUGUCUCAACACUCACCAGCUUUUCCUUAAGUUCCUUCUUUUCAAAUUCAAGGCUAUCAAUUUUGUCAUUAAGAUGUUUCGUUUUAAGAGUCAAUUCAUUUUGUAUGUAGACCUUGAGUUUUUCUUCCAAAGUUGACAUAAUAUCAGUUAAGGUACUUUUGAUUAAAACUUCAAUUUCUUCUUUUUUUAACAUAGCUUUGAAAUCUCUCCUGAGAUUGUUCAUAUUUACAUUCAACCCCUCAAGCUGUGUCUGAAUGUGACUAAGUCCUGGAUCAUCCACACUUGCCAUACUAGUGUUACUGUAAUUACUUGUGUCCAAUUGUAUAGGCUGAGAAGAAGUCAUCUUUUGUUCUUUCUGUCCACCACUGAAUGAAAGUUUUGGCUGGUCCUUUUUACUUACUGUUAGAUCUACUCCUAACCAUUGUCCUUUUUAUGCCCCCGGGCAUAUAGUAAUUGAACCGUCCGUCCGUCUGUCCUUCCGCACUCACAGGAGUGUAAUUAUGUGGCUAGAGGGACAAUAGGUAACUGUUCUUUCUCUUUGAUGUCAUUCAUUCUGUAAUGCUUUUAUGUGGCUAUUUUCUUUUGUGUGGCUAAAAAGAACAAUAGAGAGAACAAUAGAGUAGCCACAUAAUUACUGUCCUGUGAGAACGUCUGUCCGUCUGUCCGUACGAGGUUAACCUAGAACGGCAAGUUGGAUUUUUCUUAAGUUCUACCUGUACCAAUGGCUUCAUAAUUUACACACUUACUAAUCCAUACAAAGUAUAUGAUCUGGGCAAGUUACAUAACUAUGGCUUCCAUUUGCACCAAGUUACGGCCCUUUUCAGCACUUAGAAAAUGAAUAAUGGUUAACCUGAACCGGCAAGUUGGAAAUAUCUUAUGUUCUAUCUGAACUAAUAAUUAAUAAUUUUCACACUUACUUAUCAAUACAAUGUACAUGAUAUUGCCAAGUUAUAUAAAUGUGCAAUCCAUUUUCCCAGUAAUUUCCCUUAAAUAGGGCCUAGUAUGGUUAACCUAUUCGCCAAGUUGGAUUUAUCAAAAAAUUUCACCUAAUUACUUAAUUUAUUUAAUGAUAUCUUUCAUAUGUGGUAGGUGGAUACCUUUAACGAUCCUCUAAUUUUUUGUGGCGUUAGGCGUCUCUAGGUCAAGGUCACUUGUGUAAAAAAAUAAAUUUAAACAUUUCUGCUCAUACAGCCUUUAUUUUUAAGUUAAUGUCUUUCAUGUUUAUAAUAGUCAUACCAAGGGAGGUCCUCUUCCUUUUCCUUUAGUAAGGGUUCAUUUGGGUCAAGGUGACCAAUGUCAAAAAUAGAUUUUUUACACUUACAGGUGUAUUAACCUUAUUCUAUCGACAGAUGUCUUGUAUAUUUUGUAGGAACAUAAAAUUGAGGUAUUCUUAUUUGGAUGGAGGUAGGGUCAGUUGGGUCAAGGUCACCAGUGCUAAAAAUAGAUUUUUACACUUUUGCUCAUACAGCCUUUAUUUAUUGACAGAUUUGUAUUAUAAUUGGUAGGAAGAUAACUUACAUGGUAUUCUUCCUUUAGAUGGAGUUAGGGGUCAGUUGGGUCAAGGUCAACAGUGCUAAAAAUAGAUUUUUACACUUUUGCCCAUACAGCCUUUAUAUAUUGACAGAUUUAUUUCAUAUUUGGUAGGAAAAUAAGUUGCAUGAUAUUCUUCCUUUGGAUGGAGUUAGGGGUCUGUUGGGUCAAGGUCACCAGUGCUAAAAAUAGAUUUUUUACACUUUUGCCCAUACAGCCUUUAUUUUAAAUAUUGUUACUGACAAGAAUCUGAGCCGGGGGGCAUUUGUGUUCAACAAACACGUUCUUGUUUUAGUUAUAAUCCAACUUAUGUAUACAUGUAUAUGUAUGUUAUGAUUAUCAGAUUAUAUAACACUUAUUCAACUAAAUUUCACAUUUACAGUAAUCCAGGUUAGGGAAUGUCUCUAAACUGUCUGAAGAUAUCUAAAUCCAAUAAAAAAUACAUCCACACAAAGAAAAAACACUGUUUUGAGAUACAAUUUCCUAUAAUAACUCAGCAACCAAAGAGUUUUUCAUAUUUAAACUCAAGUUAUAAGUAUUUAAGUGCGUCAAAAGAAACACACUUUUGUUUUAUUUUACUGCGACAUCGAUUAUAUUGUGACAUCACGCCAAUUGUUUUCUAUCAGGUUUGUGCCGUUGCUAUAUAUAUUGAGAGAAAUAAAGAAACCUGAUGUUCGUUAGUAGAAGAUCAGAAAAAAAAACAAAAAAAACCACUUCAUUGCUCUUUUUAUCUUAAAAAGAUUAUACAAUACGACAGUAUAUCAUGGUAUUAAAAAUUAUAUAAUUAUAUAAAUCUUUGUGUGUUAGAAUUUAUAAAGCGGAACCUUACUGAUAUUUCACUUCAAAUGAUUUUGAUUAUUUUAAAUAAUGGUUUGCUAGUAAAAUUGCCUUUUUGCCACUUCCUUUUUAAUGGUAACAUUUAGCUUUUGAUCAGUAAUCAUUUUUUUAUGAUUACCGAGUACAUUUCACGGUAAUUGUGAGACAAACCCUAAAUGACGUCUGUUUGGGCACCACCAUUUUGAAAUGGACGUCACGUCAGGUUACAACAUAAGUCAACGAGGAAAAAUAUAAUAUUAACAUUUUGACCAUAUUACUGGCUUUAUGGAAAAAAUGAAAAACAUGCCUAGAUAUAUUGACGUCAGGGUUAACAUGACAUUAAUUUAAAUGAUUUUACUAUUAUAUUUAAUAAAAAAUGGAAUAUUCAAAUUUGGUGGGACAGACUAUAAGUGAUUCAUGGGAGCAUAACUUUAAAUUAGAAAAACUAAAAAAGUGUUUGCUCUUCGUCUAUCUGACAGCAGUUAGCAACAGGGUCAUCAAAUGCUUGAUACUGGGAACAGUGAUAAAGGCAAUAUGACAUUAUGCGCUCGACGUAUAAAAAAAAAAGAAUUGAGCUAUUGCUGCAGUCAGGUUGUUGUUGCCAUUGCCGUUGCUGUGCAGAAUCUUGAUUAUUAGUCACCUACUGGUUUACCCUCCGUCCAUCUGUCUGUCUGUUCGUCCGUCAAUUCGUCCACAAAACUAGAUCCUGUGAUAUCGCAAAAA